RNAcentral lists this ribosomal RNA (901 nucleotides) under Acinetobacter junii. RNAcentral describes it as "bacterial SSU rRNA". It matches the Rfam family "Bacterial small subunit ribosomal RNA", at positions 554 to 1456 of the family's 1533-position model. RNAcentral also lists the same sequence under 1 other name. Lineage: Bacteria; Pseudomonadati; Pseudomonadota; Gammaproteobacteria; Moraxellales; Moraxellaceae. The record is from RNAcentral.
CUGGGCGUAAGCGCGCGUAGGUGGUUAAUUAAGUCAAAUGUGAAAUCCCCGAGCUUAACUUGGGAAUUGCAUUCGAUACUGGUUAGCUAGAGUAUGGGAGAGGAUGGUAGAAUUCCAGGUGUAGCGGUGAAAUGCGUAGAGAUCUGGAGGAAUACCGAUGGCGAAGGCAGCCAUCUGGCCUAAUACUGACACUGAGGUGCGAAAGCAUGGGGAGCAAACAGGAUUAGAUACCCUGGUAGUCCAUGCCGUAAACGAUGUCUACUAGCCGUUGGGGGAUUUGAUCCUUUAGUGGCGCAGCUAACGCGAUAAGUAGACCGCCUGGGGAGUACGGUCGCAAGACUAAAACUCAAAUGAAUUGACGGGGGCCCGCACAAGCGGUGGAGCAUGUGGUUUAAUUCGAUGCAACGCGAAGAACCUUACCUGGCCUUGACAUAGUAGAGACUUUCCAGAGAUGGAUUGGUGCCUUCGGGAAUCUACAUACAGGUGCUGCAUGGCUGUCGUCAGCUCGUGUCGUGAGAUGUUGGGUUAAGUCCCGCAACGAGCGCAACCCUUUUCCUUACUUGCCAGCAUUUCGGAUGGGAACUUUAAGGAUACUGCCAGUGACAAACUGGAGGAAGGCGGGGACGACGUCAAGUCAUCAUGGCCCUUACGGCCAGGGCUACACACGUGCUACAAUGGUCGGUACAAAGGGUUGCUACACAGCGAUGUGAUGCUAAUCUCAAAAAGCCGAUCGUAGUCCGGAUCGCAGUCUGCAACUCGACUGCGUGAAGUCGGAAUCGCUAGUAAUCGCGGAUCAGAAUGCCGCGGUGAAUACGUUCCCGGGCCUUGUACACACCGCCCGUCACACCAUGGGAGUUUGUUGCACCAGAAGUAGGUAGUCUAACCGCAAGGAGGACGCUUA